RNAcentral lists this ribosomal RNA (382 nucleotides) under uncultured Anaeromusa sp. RNAcentral's name for it is "partial 16S ribosomal RNA". The stretch from base 82 to 382 matches the Rfam family "Bacterial small subunit ribosomal RNA", at positions 58 to 348 of the family's 1533-position model. Lineage: Bacteria; Bacillati; Bacillota; Negativicutes; Selenomonadales; Sporomusaceae. The record is from RNAcentral.
GCUUAACACCGAGAACAUACUGCUUAAAGGCAGAGCGGUGGCGAAGUGAAACGAGCCAUCACGCAUACAUAAAGUGAUUAUCAAGCAAAAUGUUUUGGGUGUUGAGCUUUGGAUAGUGGCGAACGGGUGAGUAACGCGUAGGCAAUCUGCCUUCUAGAUGGGGACAACAUCCCGAAAGGGGUGCUAAUACCGAAUGUUGUACCGUUUCCGCAUGGAGAUGAUACUAAAGGUGGCCUCUGAAUAUGCUACCGCUAGAAGAUGAGCCUGCGUCUGAUUAGCUAGUUGGAGGGGUAACGGCCCACCAAGGCUUCGAUCAGUAGCCGGUCUGAGAGGAUGAACGGCCACACUGGGACUGAGACACGGCCCAGACUCCUACGGGAGG